AACACCAUCAAAAUCUUACACGAAUCAAUGCAACGCUUCGGUCCGGGGUCUCGAACUCAUCUCGCUGCUUCGAGGCAUAACCAAACCGAACCUCAACUGGCAAUGAUCGGAGCGCAGGGUUGGACGAAGGACUGUGGGCGGACGGACUAACGUGUUUAUUGCUGUUUGUGGCUUUAUUUUAGUGUUUUGAGGUGAAGAUAGGCGUUAGAAAGACAUCAGUGACUCUAUUCUGUUUAUAUGAAGUGGAUAUAGCAAAGAAAACGGCCUGGAAACUAUCAAAGCGAAGAAAUUACUAAUGAAAAUCGUGGUAAUGGAAACUGUAGAACGCUUGAUUGGUAGACUAAUGUAAUUGUUCCUGGUAACGUUAUUUUAGUGUUACGAGGUGAACAUAGGCGUUAGAAAGACAUCAGUGACUAUUCUAUUUAUACGAAGCUGGAGAUAGCAAAGAAAACUACCCAGAAAUCCGCAGAAAAGAAGGAAUUAGUGAUGGAAGUCGUGGUAAUGGAGACUGGAGAACGUUUGGUUGGUAGACUAAUGUAAUUGUUCCUGGUAACGUUAUUUUAGUGUUACGAGGUGAACAUAGGAGUGAAAAAGAUAUAAGUGACUCUAUUCUGUUGAUACGAAGUGGAGAUAGCAAAGAAAACGACCCAGAAAUCCCCAGAAACGAAGGACUUACUGAUGGGACUCGUGGUGAUGACAGUGGCGUGAGAGUUGCUUGGUAGACUAAUGUAACUGCUUCUGGUGACGUUAUUGUAGUGUUUCGAGGUGAACACAGACAUUAGAAAGACAUAAGUGACUCUAUUCUGCUUAUACGAAGUGGAUAUAGCGAAGAAAACGACCUUAAAACUCCCAGAAAUGAAGGAAAUAAUGGUGAAAGUCGUGCUGAUGGAGAUGGAAGAACGUUUGGUUGGUAGACUAAUGUAACUGUUCCUGGUGACGUUAUGCUAGUGUUACAAGGUGGACAUAGGGAUAGCAGAAGUCGUGGUGAUGGUGACGGAUGAGCACUUGGAAGGUAGACUAAUGUAACUGUUCCUGGUGACGUUAUGCUAGUGUUACAAGGUGAACAUAGGGAUAGCUGAAGUGGUGAUGGUGACUGAAGAACGCUUGGUUGGUUGACUAAUGUAACUGUUCCUGGUGACGUUAUGCUAGUGUUACAAGGUGGACAUAGGGAUAGCAGAAGUCGUGGUGAUGGUGACGGAUGAGCACUUGGUUGGUAGACUAAUGUAACUGUUCCUGGUGACUUUAUGCUCGUGUUACAAGGUGGACAUAGGGAUAGCAGAAGUCGUGGUGAUGG
This is a long non-coding RNA of Eriocheir sinensis (Chinese mitten crab), 1294 nucleotides long. RefSeq lists it as uncharacterized. NCBI's taxonomy places the organism in Eukaryota, Metazoa, Arthropoda, Malacostraca, Decapoda, Varunidae. The record is from RefSeq and is a predicted model, not a curated record. The transcript is spliced from 3 exons.